RNAcentral lists this ribosomal RNA (406 nucleotides) under uncultured bacterium. Its description in RNAcentral is "partial 16S ribosomal RNA". It matches the Rfam family "Bacterial small subunit ribosomal RNA", at positions 30 to 526 of the family's 1533-position model. The record is from RNAcentral.
AUUGAACGCUGGCGGCAGGCUUAACACAUGCAAGUCGAGCGAGCGGCGGACGGGUGAGUAAUGUCUGGGAAACUGCCUGAUGGAGGGGGAUAACUACUGGAAACGGUAGCUAAUACCGCACACCAUCAGAUGUGCCCAGAUGGGAUUAGCUAGUAGGUGGGGUAAUGGCUCACCUAGGACACGAUCCCUAGCUGGUCUGAGAGGAUGACAAGAAAAACUGGAACUGAGACACGGUCCAGACUCCUACGGAAGGCAGCAGUGGGAAAGAUUGCACAAUGGGCGCAAGCCUGAUGCAGCCAUGCCGCGUGUGUGAAGAGGGCCUUCGGGUUGUAAAGCACUUUCAGCGAGGAGGCGUUACUCGCAGAAGAAGCACCGGCUAACUCCGUGCCAGCAGCCGCGGUAAUUC